Manis pentadactyla (Chinese pangolin) is the source of this 972-nucleotide long non-coding RNA. RefSeq lists it as uncharacterized. Lineage: Eukaryota; Metazoa; Chordata; Mammalia; Pholidota; Manidae. The transcript is spliced from 2 exons. The record is from RefSeq and is a predicted model, not a curated record.
GUAUUUUCUGUAACAUUUGGUUCCCUGACCAGGAAACCCAACCGUGUUGGCCCAUUGUUGCCACCGGUUUGGAGCAAUGGGGCCGUGAUGGAACAGGGGAUGAAAAUGGAGAAGGCACGCCCUCCUGAUCUUUUGGCAGUCUCCCACAGGGUCACCCUGGGCCAGCCCUGCUCCGCUGUUCCCGCUGGACUCAAGGAGGCUUGGCAAGUGAGGACCUGGUUCCUAUGUUGAAUCUGAGUGAAAAGGGCCCAUCAUCCCGAGGAGGAAGCACAUCAGUGGGAGGCCCAGCCAGACCUCCGGAUCCUAUAUGCCUCUGCAUCCAAUGAUUGCCCUCUAAUAGACACCUGCACGCUGUGGAUCCUGUCUCUUGUCAGAGUGGUGUCUUUUAUUCUGGGCAUUGGACUCUGCGCUGUUGCACCCCUGGACUGGACUACUCCUCAAAAAAAAGUUGCCCUUUCUGUUGUCUAUUGGGUAAUCACUAAGUUGUUUUACUGUGCUCACUUGUCUCUCCUAGCUGGACCCAAGUCUCAGCCUGCAUUUCCAAAGAACCUCUCUGUAAUGUUUAAUUGUACAAAAGUUAUAAAGUGCAUAGUGGGCUAAAGGGAGCUACCUCCUUUUCCCCAGUGAGAUUUCCUAGGCAGAACAAGCUGCCCCUUUACUGAUCCCUGCUCUAGUCAGGCUCAGUGGAGCUGGAUAAGCUGCAGUAGACACAGCAGCUCUAAUAAAGAGAGACUUAGGACUUGAUGCCCUAACAGAGGAAGCUGAUCAAGGUUUAGAGAAGCUUGAAACCACCAUGAGUCAGCUGCAAGAUCAAAUUGAUUCCCUAGCUGAAGUGGUGUUGCAAAAUCCUUGAGGACUGGACCUCCUGUUCAUGUCACAGGGAGGCUUAUGUGUAGCCCUUAAAGAAGAUUGUUGUUUUUAUGCAAAUAAGUCUGGCAUAGUUAGGAGCUAUCUAACCAAAGCAAAAGAAAA